Molecule: ribosomal RNA, 492 nt
Filed under: uncultured bacterium
Lineage: Bacteria
Description: partial 16S ribosomal RNA
Rfam family: Bacterial small subunit ribosomal RNA
Source: RNAcentral
AGUGAACGCUGGCGGUAGGCCUAACACAUGCAAGUCGAACGGCAGCACAGUAAGAGCUUGCUCUUACGGGUGGCGAGUGGCGGACGGGUGAGGAAUACAUCGGAAUCUACUUUUUCGUGGGGGAUAACGUAGGGAAACUUACGCUAAUACCGCAUACGACCUACGGGUGAAAGCAGGGGUUCUUCGGACCUUGCGCGAUUGAAUGAGCCGAUGUCGGAUUAGCUAGUUGGCGGGGUAAAGGCCCACCAAGGCGACGAUCCGUAGCUGGUCUGAGAGGAUGAUCAGCCACACUGGAACUGAGACACGGUCCAGACUCCUACGGGAGGCAGCAGUGGGGAAUAUUGGACAAUGGGCGCAAGCCUGAUCCAGCCAUACCGCGUGGGUGAAGAAGGCCUUCGGGUUGUAAAGCCCUUUUGUUGGGGAAGAAAAGCAGCAGGUUAAUACCCCGCUGUUCUGACGGUACCCAAAGAAUAAGCACCGGCUAACUUCGUG